RNAcentral lists this ribosomal RNA (497 nucleotides) under uncultured bacterium. Its description in RNAcentral is "partial 16S ribosomal RNA". It matches the Rfam family "Bacterial small subunit ribosomal RNA", at positions 28 to 507 of the family's 1533-position model. The record is from RNAcentral.
GAUGAACGCUGGCGGCGUGCCUAAUACAUGCAAGUCGAGCGAACAGACGAGGAGCUUGCUCCUCUGACGUUAGCGGCGGACGGGUGAAUAACACGUGGAUAACCUACCUAUAAGACUGGGAUAACUUCGGGAAACGGGAGCUAAUACCGGAUAAUAUAUUGAACCGCAUGGUUCAAUAGUGAAAGACGGUUUUGCUGUCACUUAUAGAUGGAUCCGCGCCGCAUUACCUAGUUGGGAAGGUAACGGCUUACCAAGGGAACGAUGCGUAGCCGACCUGAAAGGGUGUUGGGCAACACUGGAACUGAGCCACGGUCCAGACUCCUACGGUAGCCAGCAUUAGGGAAUCUUCCGCAAUGGGCGAAAGCCUGCCGGAGCAACGCCGCGUGAGUGAUGAAGGUCUUCGGAUCGUAAAACUCUGUUAUUAGGGAAGAACAAAUGUGUAAGUAACUAUGCACGUCUUGACGGUACCUAAUCAGAAAGCCACGGCUAACUACGUG